UCGGCAAAAUGACCCCGUAACUUAGGGAUAAGGGGUGCCACCAUCCGGUGGCCGCAGAGAAUAGGCCCAAGCGACUGUUUACCAAAAACAUAGGUUUCUGCUAAGUCGCAAGACGAUGUAUAGGAGCUGACGCCUGCCCGGUGCUGGAAGGCUAAGGGGAUCUGUUAGAGCAAUCGAAGCAGUGAACUUAAGCCCCAGUAAACGGCGGCCGUAACUAUAACGGUCCUAAGGUAGCGAAAUUCCUUGUCGGGUAAGUUCCGACCCGCACGAAAGGCGUAACGAUUUGGGCACUGUCUCA
RNAcentral lists this ribosomal RNA (298 nucleotides) under Clostridioides difficile. Its description in RNAcentral is "partial 23S ribosomal RNA". It matches the Rfam family "Bacterial large subunit ribosomal RNA", at positions 1714 to 2023 of the family's 2925-position model. The record is from RNAcentral. Lineage: Bacteria; Bacillati; Bacillota; Clostridia; Peptostreptococcales; Peptostreptococcaceae.